Phyllopteryx taeniolatus (common seadragon) is the source of this 258-nucleotide long non-coding RNA. RefSeq lists it as uncharacterized. The record is from RefSeq and is a predicted model, not a curated record. NCBI's taxonomy places the organism in Eukaryota, Metazoa, Chordata, Actinopteri, Syngnathiformes, Syngnathidae. The transcript has 3 exons.
GGCCGCAACACACAGAGUAUGAACAUUUCGGACUUAUUUGGUGGUCGUCUUUAGCAAGACAAGAGUCCGUUGCCAGAGCCAGCACGAGCAGCGGUGAUAUUUCGCAAACACGAAAGAACGAGUGGUAUAAUGUUUGAAGAGGAUCCAGCUGUGGAGAGAGGAGAGGAUCCUCUAGAAAGCACCGUCAUCGUUAUGAGGGCGCUCGAGGCCUGACGAAAGCGACAUAGAAGAGGAAGCGGCGCAUCGUCUACCUCCGGA